GAUGAACGCUGGCGGCGUGCCUAAUACAUGCAAGUCGAGCGAACGGACGAAAAGCUUGCUUCUCUGAUGUUAGCGGCGGACGGGUGAGUAACACGUGGAUAACCUACCUAUAAGACUGGGAUAACUUCGGAAAACCGGAGCUAAUACCGGAUAAUAUUUUGAACCGCAUGGUUCAAAAGUGAAAGACGGUCUUGCUGUCACUUAUAGAUGGAUCCGCGCUGCAUUAGCUAGUUGGUAAGGUAACGGCUUACCAAGGCAACGAUGCAUAGCCGACCUGAGAGGGUGAUCGGCCACACUGGAACUGAGACACGGUCCAGACUCCUACGGGAGGCAGCAGUAGGGAAUCUUCCGCAAUGGGCGAAAGCCUGACGGAGCAACGCCGCGUGAGUGAUGAAGGUCUUCGGAUCGUAAAACUCUGUUAUUAGGGAAGAACAUAUGUGUAAGUAACUGUGCACAUCUUGACGGUACCUAAUCAGAAAGCCACGGCUAACUACGUG
RNAcentral lists this ribosomal RNA (497 nucleotides) under uncultured bacterium. RNAcentral's name for it is "partial 16S ribosomal RNA". It matches the Rfam family "Bacterial small subunit ribosomal RNA", at positions 28 to 507 of the family's 1533-position model. The record is from RNAcentral.